CAAAAGGGGUGUGCCCAGUUGGUGGCUCAUGGCUCGUUAAAGAGACAUAAUUACUGCCCACAGGUGAGGAGGGUGUGGAGGAAUUCAAGGUGGUAAGUGAUGGCUGACUGAAAGUAAAGCUUCAGAAUGAGGAGCUGUGAGACGAGAGGGAACACACUCUCACAGACGUACCUUGGAUGUGUCCUCUUCUCGAUGCUUGGCCUUUACUAUGGCGUUCCAGCCCACUGUGAGGAUCCACGGAGGAUGGCGCAGGACCUGGGAACUCUGAGAUUCACAUUUCUCCUGUGGGACAUGGAGUUAGUAGAUAUAACAGUGUCUCCUGGCCUCCCAUCUACUCAGUAAGGUAACAAGUGGUUUCCUGUCACAUUGGUAAGGCUACAAUGAGGUAAGUUUAUUUAAAAACAUGUAUUUCCCUGAGACGAAACAAAAUGGAGACCAAGUUUGAUUUUUAAAAUACCCUUGACUAGCCAGUAGGACUGGUUAAUUCCUAGGAGUAUUCUAAACAAAUGUGCAGAUGUAAUUAUAAGCCAUUGGGUCAACUAAAUGGACUUAAAUUAGGGCUGAACUCUCGUUGGUCCAAGAUGAGAUACUAUGUUUUUGCCCCUUCAUUAGUUUUUAUCCCCUUUACCAUUGUGUUUUAUUACUCCAUAUGAUUGGAAAAUGUCACCAUUUUACUUUAUAAAACUCUCAAGACUUAGUUCAUCAAUGGUUGAACUGUGGAACAGUGUGAUUCUCAUUUGAAAAGUUAGUCUAAACUCUUCUGAGACAGUCAUUUCAUAUUUUAAAACAAACUUCUCUGUGAACUUUUGUCAUAAAUCCUUAGAACUAAUGCACAGUAAGAGGGGGAAAUGUACCUGAGAAUGAAUUUUAUUAGCUGUUCUGGUGGAGAAAACAAAUAUACCAACCGGAACUCAAAAGAAACCUGUUAAUUUACAAUUUUCACCUUCUCCUCCAUUUCUGCCAGCUUCCAUGUUUUUCCUUUGAAUUCCCCUGGGUCAGACAGCACUCUUAAACCCCACUAUUAUAAAAAUGAGAAGCCUUUCCAAAACCACAAGGGUAAAGUCUCAAACUUCUCUUGAAAAUAUUGUUCCUGAAGCCAGCCUUCAUGCUCCAGGCAGUAUGAAAGCCACAGAAUCACAGCAGGCAAGAUUCAAGUGCAGGGAGUGUGAUGUGUGAUACCCCUCGGUCCAUGGAAAAAUACCACAUCACACUGUGGAAACAACUUACCCAGCGGACACUCCACGUGGCGUGCUCUUUCCGGUUUCCACUGAAGAGGCCAAGAAAGAUUACUCUCCCGUCUUCUGUUCCACCCCAGAAUAGGCCUGUCUCCAGGCCUAUUCGACACAGGAAAAUGUAAACAUAGCGAGUCCCUCCCAAGCAUUAGCAAGUAUAGGAAUUACCUAGGAAUUUUGUUAAGAAGCAAAAUAUGAAUAACCAAUUUGAGGCCAGUCCCAAAACGUUGCAUUUGCAGGUGACAGUGAAUCCUGAAGUCUGGGAAAUCACAGCUUGAGCAGGGAAGUAUUAAGACUCCUGGUAAACAUGUUCCUUUGUGUGUUAAUACAGCAACAUGGAGGAUAAAACUGCUUCACAGCCUCCGUUCCAGCUUUUGAGUUUGUAAGAAUGUUGAAGGAUUUGAGGACUGUGUCAGUGUGUGAGACAUGUUGAAAGCAACUUUCAGAGAACAGAAGGUAUCUAGGCCUUUGCUAGUGCCACCAUGUCACCGAAGUCACACUCAUGGGAACUCCCAUUUGUAGACUUCUUGUUUUGUUUUUUAAUGGAACCACUUUAUUCCAAUUCUUGCUUUGGUUAAAUAUUAUUAUGGUUUACAUUAUCAAUUGUCAUAUUACCAACAAUUCUUAUACAUUGUAAGAACUAGGUAGAUCAGAACAAAACUAAAUUUGUAAUCAGUGGGCCAGACAGCAAGUGUUAUACGCUUACUAGGCCUGAGGAACAGCAUUUCUGUGUUUGCAGGCCUUACGGGAUCACAAAAUAUUCAUUCAUAUGUUCCUAGAAAAAAUUUCUUAAGAACAUGGCAAUCUGUUCUUUUAAGCAUUAGCACAAAGCUAUAGGAAAGAAGAGUAGAGGGGAAGGAAAGAUUUCAAAGAGUUUCUUCUGUUUCCUUAUUCUCAUCAAAUCAUUGGAGGAUAUGAGAGAACAAGAGAUUUCCCAUGGAUGAAUGUGUACAGCUAGUCAGUGAAAUUUCUUGAUACACUAAGGUAUCUUUUGAUAUUUGAUUUUAAAGGCAUGGUUACAGAAUUGCAAAUUCUGCGAUACAGCAUCUUAGCUACUAUGAUCCGAUGAGAAGGAGUCUUCUGACUGUGGGGGUUUAUUCGGCACACUGGUGAUCAAGACAAAGUAAAGACUCUUGAGCAUAGGCCCAUUUCUGUCAAUCACUCUAACCUAGCCCCCAUGACAUCAUAUUUGAACUCAGUGGGGGUGGGAGGAAAACCAAGAACAUAAAAAGAAUUAAGACAAAAUGAAGGAAGUCUGUGAAACUACACAGCACUUUCAUAUUUGUGAUUCUUCCAUGGUGACCAUUGUCAUUGGUAUAUGGCAUUGCUCUUUCAUUGUCUCAGGAAUAGCGUGAAUGAUAGCAUGGACGACCAAAAGAGCUAUAUUACUGAAAUAGCAUCUGCUUUGUUCAUUAUCAUGGCAAAAGUGAUUCACAGAACAAAAAGAUUUGGCUGCAAAAGACAGUUCGAGUUUCCUGGGAAAUCUCGGGACUACUUUGGCAGAAGUUGAAGGUUUCUGGUUUGUCUACAAAGCUGACGGAGUGUAUCCAGAGGAAUGCUUAUUUGUGAUUGUCCGUUUUCCUCUGGCUGUGACUCCUAGAAGACUUUAUUUUGAUUUAGUCAGUAGUCCAGAUGGCCUGUAUUUCCCAGUGGAUACGGAAUGGGCAUGGGUCAAACCAAGUCCAUCACAUUGUAUUCUCUGGUACCUAGUGCUUCACACUUUCCUUCUUUUCUUGUCCAAAACAAGCCACAGACGAAGGAAGGAGUGGAAAGAGGGUAAGCAUGACAUGAGCAGUAGAAGGAGAAGCAGGAUAUUUCUCAAGAGACAAGCAGCAGCUACAGAACGAAUUAAACAGCUGUGAAUGUCACAGGGUGAGCCUGCAACUUCUGGUUAACAUGAUUUCUAGAUUCAAAUAGAAGUUAAGCUUUCCAUCUCAUUUGGUGCUGGCAGCUACAUUGACUACCGUCUACCCUGUCAAGAGAAGUUCUUCAUGACCUCCUCAGGUACAGAGUGCACCUGUUAAUGCAUGGCUAAUAGUUAAAGAACAUAAGGAAAAUUACAACAAUGUUAGUCACACAUUCGGCAAGACUACUUUCUCAAAGGUAUAUUCUUUUUUUCUCUAGAAUGACUACUUAUUGGCAUAAAAAUACCUGAACAUAAUAUUUUAAGCCACUCAUAGCUUUUGAAGGCUAUAUAUUUUACAAGAAUACAUUAAUUUUUAUCUGCUCUGAUUUCUUUUUGUAUGAUUUUAUGUUAACAUUUUUUCAGACAAUACUUCAAUUCCUAUUCUUUACCUUCCCCAACCCCAUCUAGAUCCAUCCCACAUUGCUACCCAUCUAACUUCAUGUUCUUUCUCUCUCAAAAACAAAACAAAAGUAAAAAUCAAAACAGACAAAUAAGACAAAAUACCACAAACAAACUCUAUCCUUUAACUUUCAUAAACAAUACCUCCGUUCUGCCCCAUCCUUCCAUCUCCCCUUUCUUUAUAAGCCCAGCAUCCCUGCCUUACAUAGUCCAAGUAGAAGCCUUAGUAGGGACCAUUUCCAUGUCAUCCAAACAACUCUAAUGAGAUCCAUUCUCUAAGGACCUGGCUUGUGAACAACUGUAAAAAAGAAUGUGUAGCAUUCAUCAAAGAGAAGUGUUCAUAUAUCAUCCUUCUCACCAGUAAAUUCUCAGAUCCCCAAGGUUUGUCUAUACCCUGAGCCAAAAGAGCAAGAAUGAGAACUUUAGACUUCAAACAAGAAUCCUGUGAGAUCUCUUAAAAAGCAUUCUGUGAGUUCUGUGAGAUCUCUCAAAAUGAUUGUAGAAGGUAGUUACAAACACAAAUAUCUUUUCUUCAAAUCUCUGGCUACUAAAAUAGCCUGUUUUAUUAUCUAAUGCUGGAAAUACGUCAUUGAACAAGUCGCUAGCAUCCUGCUGUGUAUUGCAGUGAGCUGAAUUUGUUGGAAAGGAAACUUGUAUAAUAAACUUAAUAAUCCAUCAGCCAACCAAGGACUACUGAUGAAUUAUGGUUAGUGGAGAAUGUUAAAGUACAGAAAAGGUCCAUAUUUCCUAAACAUGCUCUCCCCCACGCCCAGCACAGUCUUCCUUUAAAUUUUUGUGCAUGGAUAUGCUUCCCAGUCAUGUACUACUUUUCUUUUUGAACCAUCUUUUUCUGCCAUGCCCUGUGGUCUUGCUAAUUCCUCCCUCGUGGGGCAUUAAUUAGAUUUUUCUUCAGGGAUUUAGGAUUAAGAGGUUCCGUCUGCUUUGUAUUCUUUAAUUUCUCCAAAUAGUGCUUGCUUUUCAAGAAGUGAUUUCCAAGACAGAGACAGUAUUUCUUUUUGGUGCUAUAGUCUAAAGAUCUGUAUCCUCACCCAAUUCAGGUGUUGAAAUCUUAACCCAAGUAAUAGAAGAAUGGAGCACUAUGGAAAAGCAGAGUUCUCAUACAAUGUAGUCAGUGUCGUUAUGAAUAGACCUAGACUAGGGAGACAGGCCAGCAAUUAAGAACACUUCCUGUUCUUCUAAAGUACUUGAGUUUUGUUCCUCACACCCAUGUGCAGCAGCUCACAAUGUCGCUGUAACUCUAGUUCCAGGGGAUCUGACAUCCUUUCCUGGCCUCUCUGGGGACCUGAGCAUAUAGGCACAUACUAACAUGCAGAUAUAAGUACACAUAAGUAUGCAUAAUUUUUAAAAAAUAAA
This is a non-coding RNA of Rattus norvegicus (Norway rat), 4911 nucleotides long. The record is from RefSeq and is a predicted model, not a curated record. NCBI's taxonomy places the organism in Eukaryota, Metazoa, Chordata, Mammalia, Rodentia, Muridae.